Molecule: ribosomal RNA, 418 nt
Filed under: bacterium
Lineage: Bacteria
Description: partial 16S ribosomal RNA
Rfam family: Bacterial small subunit ribosomal RNA
Source: RNAcentral
UGGGGGAUAUUGCACAAUGGGCGAAAGCCUGAUGCAGCGACGCCGCGUGGGGGAUGAAGGCCUUCGGGUUGUAAACUUCUUUUGCUCUGAACAAGGCGCACCAUGGGGUGUGUUGAGUGUAGGGGUUGAUUAGCGCCGGCUAACUACGUGCCAGCAGCCGCGGUAAUACGUAGGGCGCGAGCGUUGUCCGGAAUUAUUGGGCGUAAAGGGCUUGUAGGUGGCUGGUUGCGUCUGUCGUGAAAGCUCAUGGCUUAACUGUGGGUUUGCGGUGGGUACGGGCUGGCUUGAGUGCAGUAGGGGAGGCUGGAAUUCCUGGUGUAGCGGUGGAAUGCGCAGAUAUCAGGAGGAAUACCGGUGGCGAAGGCGGGUCUCUGGCUGUUACUGACACUGAGGAGCGAAAGCAUGGGGAGCGAACAGG